This 284-nucleotide long non-coding RNA is filed under the name Lepisosteus oculatus (spotted gar). RNAcentral describes it as "lncRNA (ENSLOCG00000022112.1)". The record is from RNAcentral. Lineage: Eukaryota; Metazoa; Chordata; Actinopteri; Semionotiformes; Lepisosteidae.
UAGGCAACAGCUUCACCAUCACUUGCUCUGUUAAGGUGGUGCCUUUCACCUGCAGAUCAAUGGAAUGGCUGUUCAGUCAGAGAGCACCUACAGUGGCUCCGUCACCUUCUCGGUUCCUGCUGCACAGUAUUCCCACAUGGGGAAUUAUACCUGCAGCUAUGAGGCUGAAGUGUUCAAUCGGACGUUUGUCUCACCUUCAAGUGCUUUGAUGCCCCUAACUGUGAGAGAGUCCCUGCUGAAGCCUAUAGUCCUGCGGUGAUGUUAGUGGUGCUGUUGCUGUUGAU